UACGGGGGGAGCAAGCGUUGUUCGGAUUUACUGGGCGUAAAGGGCGCGUAGGCGGCGUGACAAGUCACUUGUGAAAUCUCCGGGCUUAACUCGGAACGGUCAAGUGAUACUGUCGGACUAGAGUACAGAAGGGGCAACUGGAAUUCUCGGUGUAGCGGUGAAAUGCGUAGAUAUCGAGAGGAACACCUGCGGCGAAGGCGGGUUGCUGGACUGAUACUGACGCUGAGGCGCGAAAGCCAGGGGAGCGAACGGG
This 253-nucleotide ribosomal RNA is filed under the name uncultured bacterium. RNAcentral describes it as "partial 16S ribosomal RNA". It matches the Rfam family "Bacterial small subunit ribosomal RNA", at positions 524 to 776 of the family's 1533-position model. The record is from RNAcentral.